RNAcentral lists this ribosomal RNA (253 nucleotides) under Acidobacterium sp. RNAcentral describes it as "partial 16S ribosomal RNA". It matches the Rfam family "Bacterial small subunit ribosomal RNA", at positions 524 to 776 of the family's 1533-position model. Lineage: Bacteria; Pseudomonadati; Acidobacteriota; Terriglobia; Terriglobales; Acidobacteriaceae. The record is from RNAcentral. RNAcentral also lists the same sequence under 1 other name.
UACGUAGGCAGCAAGCGUUGUUCGGAGUUACUGGGCGUAAAGGGUGUGUAGGCGGUUGGAUAAGUGUGGUGUGAAAUCUCCCGGCUUAACUGGGAGGGUGCGCUACAAACUGUCUGACUAGAGUGUGGGAUGGGAGAGUGGAAUUCCUGGUGUAGCGGUGAAAUGCGUAGAUAUCAGGAGGAACACCGGUGGUGUAGACGGCUCUCUGGACCAUAACUGACGCUGAGACACGAAAGCGUGGGUAGCAAACAGG